Molecule: long non-coding RNA, 375 nt
Organism: Paramormyrops kingsleyae
Lineage: Eukaryota; Metazoa; Chordata; Actinopteri; Osteoglossiformes; Mormyridae
Source: RefSeq, a predicted model, not a curated record
GUGUUCUAGAAAAUUAAUAUAAAUGUAACUAAAGUUUUUUGUUGGAUUACGUGAGGACUGAGAGAGGAUUGGUAAUAUGCUUGGCUUUGGCUCAUUGGUGCGCACAUCUCAAAAAGAACAAAAAAUGGACUGAGUGAGAAGAUGAGAUAGAAGAAUGAUGGGGUCCAGAUCCUCCGUGAUCUUCUUGCUUGAUGUGCACCAUGUUUGCAAAACAAGGCAUACAUGAUUCUGAUGAAAAGGAAGCCCCCAGUGAGAACCCAGAGGCGACAGUGGCACGGAAAAACUCCCUAGAAGGAAGAAACCUCGGAAGGAACCAGACUCUAAGGGGGAGCACAUCCUCCAGGGGCCGGCAGAGGAAGUCAAAUGAGCAAGAUG